CAGAAACUACAAAGGAAUUGACGGGGCCCGCACAAGCGGUGGAGUAUGUGGUUUAAUUCGAUGCAACGCGAAGAACCUUACCUGGUCUUGACAUCCCGGAGACCCUUAGGAAACUAGGGGUGCUUCCAUCUGGAAGAAUCUGGAGACAGGUGCUGCAUGGCUGUCGUCAGCUCGUGUCGUGAGAUGUUGGGUUAAGUCCCGCAACGAGCGCAACCCUUGCCUUUAGUUGCCAGCAGUUCGGCUGGGCACUCUAAAGGGACUGCCGGUGUUAAACCGGAGGAAGGUGGGGAUGACGUCAAGUCCUCAUGGCCUUUAUGACCAGGGCUACACACGUACUACAAUGGCCGAUACAAAGGGCAGCGACACUGCGAGGUGAAGCCAAUCCCGUAAAAUCGGUCUCAGUCCGGAUUGGAGUCUGCAACUCGCCUCCAUGAAGUCGGAAUCGCUAGUAACCGCAGAUCAGCUACGUUGCGGUGAAUACGUUCCCGGGCCUU
Molecule: ribosomal RNA, 494 nt
Filed under: uncultured Desulfobulbus sp.
Lineage: Bacteria; Pseudomonadati; Thermodesulfobacteriota; Desulfobulbia; Desulfobulbales; Desulfobulbaceae
Description: bacterial SSU rRNA
Rfam family: Bacterial small subunit ribosomal RNA
Source: RNAcentral